CAAUAGCGUAUAUUAAAGUUGUUGCAGUUAAAAAGCUCGUAGUUGGAUUUCUGUGAGAGUGCCGGUGUCGGCUGAUGCUUGUACGCAGGCGCUCUUACAUCCUUCUGUUAACUGUUCUUGGCAUUUUAUUGCUGGUUCAGGGCUCAGAUAUUUUACCUUGAGAAAAUUAGAGUGUUUCAGGCAGGCUUAUGCCGGAAUACAUUAGCAUGGAAUAAUGGAACAGGACCUGUGCGUCUCUCGGGGCGCCGGUCUCCGUUGUUGGUUUCGGGGACUAAUGUAAUGAUUAAUAGGGAUAGUUGGGGGCAUUAGUAUUUAAUAGUCAGAGGUGAAAUUCUCGGAUUUGUUAAAGACUAACUUAUGCGAAANCANNNGCCAAGGAUGUUUUCAUNAA
Molecule: ribosomal RNA, 391 nt
Filed under: uncultured eukaryote
Lineage: Eukaryota
Description: partial 18S ribosomal RNA
Rfam family: Eukaryotic small subunit ribosomal RNA
Source: RNAcentral